RNAcentral lists this small nucleolar RNA (127 nucleotides) under Cebus imitator (Panamanian white-faced capuchin). Its description in RNAcentral is "Small nucleolar RNA ACA64 (ENSCCAG00000002205.1)". It matches the Rfam family "Small nucleolar RNA ACA64". Lineage: Eukaryota; Metazoa; Chordata; Mammalia; Primates; Cebidae. The record is from Rfam by way of RNAcentral.
AUUGGUUGAACAUCACCCCCAGCUUUGGCCAUGACCAUGGGUGAGAUUUGGCACCCAGAGCCUCCAGGGGCCUCAACCCACUGUGCACUGCCCCAUGUGCAUCAGUGAAACCCAGGCCCUGAUGUGC